This 504-nucleotide ribosomal RNA is filed under the name Rhizobiaceae bacterium D233a. RNAcentral's name for it is "bacterial SSU rRNA". It matches the Rfam family "Bacterial small subunit ribosomal RNA", at positions 32 to 584 of the family's 1533-position model. The record is from RNAcentral. Lineage: Bacteria; Pseudomonadati; Pseudomonadota; Alphaproteobacteria; Hyphomicrobiales; Rhizobiaceae.
AACGCUGGCGGCAGGCUUAACACAUGCAAGUCGAGCGCCCCGCAAGGGGAGCGGCAGACGGGUGAGUAACACGUGGGAACGUACCCUUUACUACGGAAUAACGCAGGGAAACUUGUGCUAAUACCGUAUGUGCCCUUUUGGGGAAAGAUUUAUCGGUAAGGGAUCGGCCCGCGUUGGAUUAGCUAGUUGGUGGGGUAAAGGCCUACCAAGGCGACGAUCCAUAGCUGGUCUGAGAGGAUGAUCAGCCACAUUGGGACUGAGACACGGCCCAAACUCCUACGGGAGGCAGCAGUGGGGAAUAUUGGACAAUGGGCGCAAGCCUGAUCCAGCCAUGCCGCGUGAGUGAUGAAGGCCCUAGGGUUGUAAAGCUCUUUCACCGGAGAAGAUAAUGACGGUAUCCGGAGAAGAAGCCCCGGCUAACUUCGUGCCAGCAGCCGCGGUAAUACGAAGGGGGCUAGCGUUGUUCGGAAUUACUGGGCGUAAAGCGCACGUAGGCGGACAUUU